RNAcentral lists this long non-coding RNA (1166 nucleotides) under Cricetulus griseus (Chinese hamster). RNAcentral describes it as "lncRNA (ENSCGRG00015042038.1)". The record is from RNAcentral. Lineage: Eukaryota; Metazoa; Chordata; Mammalia; Rodentia; Cricetidae.
UAAAUUUAGAGUCCAAUUUUUGAAAAGGCCAAAAUGAGCUCUCCUAGCAUGAAGUGUGUCAGGACAAUAGGAGAUACAAACCUCAGAGGGCAGCUAACAGAGAGGGGGUGAAGAUGGGCUCCUUUGUAGCCAGAGAAACUGAGAGAGAGAGAGAGAGAGAGAGAGAGAGAGAGAGAGAGAGAGAGGGAGAGAGAGAGAAACCAGGCUUCUUUCUUUCUUCCUUUUAUUUCCUUUAAAUGUAAUAUCUUUUCAAAGUAAGCCUUUGAAGGAGUUGAGUAUCACACCCUCUGCUCUCUCUGCCCUGCUGCCUUUUAGACAUUGUUGUACCAGAGAAACAUUCAGCGCACUGUGGAGAAGCCAUGGGUGUUUACAGAGAGGAUUAAGUGAGAGGGGAAGACUGAAUGUGAACUGUACCGUGUCAUGGACUGGAGGUCUGGAGCAGAGUAAAAGGAAGAAAGGAGAAGCCAGUUGAGCAUCAGCAUCUGUCUUCUCUCUGCCUCCUACUCGAUGUGAGAUAAAGAAUUUCCUCUGCAUACAAUCCUGCCACUGUAAUAUUCUGCCCAAUUGCACAAGACAAACAACCAUGGCUUCUGGACCCUCUGACACCACGAGCCUAUACAAAUCCUUCCUCCGUUAGGUCAGUCCUUUGUGACUCCUCAUCGGGUGGCUUCCAUUCAUCUGGAGCACACAGGGCCACUAAGCCUUCAUCCAGCAGCUGGUGGAAGUAGAAGCAGACACCCACAACUAAUCACUGCACUGAACUGGAAUCCAGAUGCAGAGAAGGACGAGUGAAGAGCAAAGGGGUCCAGACCAGGCUGGUGAAACCCACAGAAACAGCUGACCUGAACAUCGGGGAGCUCUUGGUCCCCAGACUGAUAGCUGGGGAUACCAGCAUUGACUGAUCCAGACCCCAGGAACAUGGGUUUCAGUAAGGAAGCCUCAGAAAUCUACAGGACCUACUGUAGUAGUUCAGUACUUAUCCCUAGCAUAGGUGUGGACUUUGGGAGCCCAUUCCACAUAGAGGAAUACUCCCUGAGCCAAGACACACGGGAGGUGGGCCUAGGCCCUAUCCCAAAAGAUAAAAUAAACUCUGAUGACACCCUAUGGAAGGCCUCACCAUCCAGGGGGAGCAGAAAGGAUAUGUGAUAGGUAGGGUUUUAGUUGGG